This is a long non-coding RNA of Eubalaena glacialis (North Atlantic right whale), 307 nucleotides long. RefSeq lists it as uncharacterized. The transcript has 2 exons. The record is from RefSeq and is a predicted model, not a curated record. NCBI's taxonomy places the organism in Eukaryota, Metazoa, Chordata, Mammalia, Artiodactyla, Balaenidae.
GAGGACCCCAUCUCAUUACUUUCCUUUGCUCUCACUUGCUGGAACAUGGCAGAACCGUGGGGAGAUUGGAUGCUGCCGAGCACAGGAAGUGAGAAAGACCAAGAGUUCGGCCAACUCUGCUGAGAGAAGCAUCUUGGAGAUGCUGCUGAGAAAGGAACCGAGGCAGCACAGGCCUGUGGCACCACCUAGGGGAAGAAGUGCCCCUGGGCUCGCCGCUGGUGCAAGCAGACUCAUUGCAAAUCAACCCAAUUUAUGAAAAUGCAGGAUUCACUUGAAGAAUAAAAAAUGAGAUGGAGAGAAAGGAAAA